AUAAAAACAAACCUUAUGUUUAUGUGUCAACGUUUAACUGUCUAUUUUAUAUAAAUUUUUUUAUAAUUAGUAUUUUUAUUGUUGUUAGAUGAUAACAUAUGAUUAAUACUUUAUGCGUUGUUUGUUUUUUUUAACUUUUUAUAUUAUUUUAAAUAAGAUGGACAGUCAAACGCCGGACUCG
Molecule: microRNA precursor, 181 nt
Organism: Oryza sativa Indica Group (long-grained rice)
Lineage: Eukaryota; Viridiplantae; Streptophyta; Magnoliopsida; Poales; Poaceae
Rfam family: MIR812 microRNA precursor family
Source: Rfam